AAGUCGUAACAAGGUUUCCGUAGGUGAACCUGCGGAAGGAUCAUUAUCGAGGAAAUUCCGGCCGAGGGGCACUGCCCCGGAGCUGAAAUCUUCUACCCUGUCCUUUAGAUACCUCUACCUCCUCCCCGGCCACAGCGCCGGGCUGGCUACUCAAAAGAACCUUGCAGUUUACAGUCAAUUCAGUACAAAAACAAACAAAAUUACAACUUUCAACAAUGGAUCUCUUGGCUCUG
This 233-nucleotide unclassified non-coding RNA is filed under the name Latorua caligans. RNAcentral describes it as "partial internal transcribed spacer region". The stretch from base 1 to 46 matches the Rfam family "Eukaryotic small subunit ribosomal RNA", at positions 1786 to 1831 of the family's 1831-position model. The record is from RNAcentral. Lineage: Eukaryota; Fungi; Ascomycota; Dothideomycetes; Pleosporales; Latoruaceae.